Molecule: unclassified non-coding RNA, 227 nt
Filed under: Glomeraceae sp.
Lineage: Eukaryota; Fungi; Glomeromycota; Glomeromycetes; Glomerales; Glomeraceae
Description: partial contains 5.8S ribosomal RNA and internal transcribed spacer 2
Rfam family: 5.8S ribosomal RNA (bases 1-65)
Source: RNAcentral
GUGAAUCAUCGAAUUUUUGAACGCAAAUUGCACUCUCCUCGGAGAGUAGGCGUGUUUGAGGGUCAGCCUAUAAAAAUUCGCCAUCGCUGCUGUUUCGCGGUGGCGGUCGUCGGGAAUUGGGUCAUCUUAAAUCUUUUGGUUUUAAGCGACUUAAAAUUUUAUAUUUGGUUCCAUGAACGUUUCUAAGAUUUAUUUCUUUACACGUUUAAGGUUUCGCUUAUUAUUAG